AUUGAACGCUGGCGGCAGGCCUAACACAUGCAAGUCGAGCGGAGCGGCGGACGGGUGAGUAAUGCCUAGGAAUCUGCCUGGUAGCGGGGGAUAACGUCCGGAAACGGGCGAUAAUACCGAAUACUAUCAGAGGAGCCAAGUUCGGUUUAGGUAGUUGGUGGGGUAAAGGCCUACCAAGGCGACGAACCGUAACUGGUCUGAGAGGAUGAUCAGUCACACUGGAACUGGGACACGGUCCCGACUCAUACGGGAGGCAGCGGUGGGGAAUAUUGGACAAUGUGCGAAAGCCUGAUUCAGCCAUGCCGCGUGUGUUGAGAAGGUCUUCGGUUUGUAAAGCACUUUAAGUUGGGAGGCGUUACCAGCAGAAUGAGCACCGGCUAACUUCGUGCCAGCAGCCGCGGUAAUUC
Molecule: ribosomal RNA, 407 nt
Filed under: uncultured bacterium
Lineage: Bacteria
Description: partial 16S ribosomal RNA
Rfam family: Bacterial small subunit ribosomal RNA
Source: RNAcentral